CUUCCUGCCAUGUGGUGACAGAUUAAAAGCUGCUAUACACUUUGGAACUGGAAACUGAGCUCCCAAUGUAAAGGAGAUAAGCCAUAAUGCUUACAAUAUGUUGUGCAGAGCUCACUGGUAGGCAGUUUUUCUUAACAAUGCAUCAGGACUUUUGUUAUUUGUAAAGGAAGCUUAAAGGAAGCUGAGAGUGCUGAGGGCACAUCUGAAACCACUGGAGUUUGGCGACGUGGAGGUCAGGACGGAUGCGUGGCCAGCCUCAGGUUGCUAAACGUUAGGGUGAUCUGCCUUCCUUCUGGGGCGGUGAUUCUCCACUCGUAGAUCUGGCCAUGAGGAUUUAGGUUCGGGUAGUUGGGAGAAGUAGAUGUUCCAGCAGAGCCCUGAAGAUCCCCACCACACUCUGAUGUGGGGGAAGAAAGCCAAGAAAACUUCCAAUCAAAUCAAAAUGUCUCCUUCCAUCAGGAAAGCUCUCAAAAUUCAGGUGUCCUGCGUGUACAAAGAAAAUAAUAAAAAACAAGAGCUUGCCCAUGAAGAAAUGUUAAUCUCUCUCAGGAAAACAGGAAAACAUGAAUGAAAAUUAACAUAUUCAAAUAUAUGAAGAAGUGAAAAAAAUGCAACCAGUUAGGGGAAGGAUAUCUCAGGAUAAUGAGGAAGGCCAGUUUUUUGGUUGAAAAAGUGGUCUGAGACAACAGAGUGACAAAUAUCUGCCUUAUGCUACUGCCAGGAGACAUGCAUGACCCUCUGUCUGCCUCAAGCUAUAGAACACCCCUCAAAUAACGGCAUGUGGCAAUGGGAUGUCUCAGCAGCAACAGGUUGCCUUCCCACUACCAUUGCUCUCCCCAGGUGGCCUCCAGGGUAGGCUAUAUGACACCUGGGCUCUGGACAUCCAUUGUUAAUGGUAGAAUUGAGGUAGAGAAUCGCUGGUACUGCCCAAAGCCCAUUAAUCUGCACUUCUUUGCAGAGUAUAGACAUGCUUUGCCUUUCUUGGAAGUGAAGAAACUUCAGAGGCUGAAUAAGUACAUGCGAAAAUAAACACCCCGAAGAGAGCAGAUAUAUUUCACUAACCAGAAGUAUGAUAGUCCCAGGUCUCCACAAAGUCUUUUUCACAGCCAGAGGAAUUCUGAAGGUUAAAAUCUUCAAAAGAGAUGGUCAGGUAGUGUCUGGAGAGCCCCUGGAGAUGCCAAUCACAGAAUAAGUUGUCUCUAUAUGGAAGCAUUAGAUGGCCAAUGCUUUCAACAACACCACUUUGCCCUGUUACUCUUCCCCCACACUGAGCUGAAAAAAAAAAAGAAAGAAAGAAAGAAAAGAAAGAAAGGAUUCUAUUACAAAUUGUGUUUUUUUCAUUUCACCAGCACAUGUGAAAACUUUUAGGUGCCAAGUGACUAUGAAUUGAAGUUUUUAAAAUUCUGAAAAUGCUUAGUGCUUUCCUCAUUAUUUGAAUUCUAGGGUUGAUGUAAACAGAAGUGAUACCACAAGUCCAAUCCAAUAAUGGGAAACAAGAUGACGACCAAAUGGCACAUUCUGUAAUCUCACAUUAAUUCUUUUGGGACACUAUGUAAGAGCUAUCAGUUGCAAGCAAGUUUCAUCUCAAGAACAAACUGGUAGACUCAUCUGACCUGCCUAGAACCUUGUGUUGAUUCUAAAGACUGAACCCAAGCUCACCUGGAAGGGGGGACACCUGCUAUAUCUAGUUUUACUAUCAACUAAACUGUUCACUACUGUAGCUGAUAUCUCAGGGCCUUGAAAAUUACUAUUCAAUUAUGUCUUAUUAGCUGGAUGUGGUAGCUAAUUGAAUUAUAUGCAGCUUGACCCGGGAUAUAACAUGAUCUAUGGUGUAGUUAAAUACUGUUACAACUAGCCUUUCUGAACUUUUGCUAUAUUAAAUAUUUGUUUGGUUUGUGUCUAGACCUAUUAGAUACUAAAUUGUGUGCUAUUGUGACCAUACUAUAGUGAAUCUUCAACAAGCAAAGUUACUGCUCAAUUUUUAAGUAAGGAAAUCAAAAUCCUGAAGAGACAUACUUGCUUUUUAUCCAGUGACUGAUUUGGCACUAGAGACUCAGAGAAAAAAAAAAGCUUAAUCAUUUUAUAUAUGAUGAGGAAUUCAAAGACAUUGUUCUAAAUAUAGUUAUCUGGUUCUUAAAUAGUUGUAUUACUUAAAGUAAUAAACAUACUGUAGUUCUUCCUUUUCCUUGGCGGAUACAUUCCAAGUCCCCCCAGUGAGUGCCUAAAACCUUGGAUAGUACCAAACCCUAUAUAGACAUAUAGACAAUUUUUUUCUACAUAUAUGUACCUAUGAUAAAGCUUACUUUAACAAUUAAACAUAGUAAGAGAUUAAUAAUAAAAUAGAACAAUCAUAACAGUAUACUGUAAGAAAAGUUAUGUAAAUGUGGUCUCUCAAAAUAUCUUGGUGUACUGUACUCACCUAUUUUUUGGGCCUCUGUUUACCAAGGGCGUUGAAACCAUGGAACAUGAAACCAUGGAUAAGAGAGAACUACUGAAUUUCAUAGUAAGCAGAAGAAACAGGAGUUUGAUUUAACUACACAUAUUUCUUCACAAAUAAGUUAGAAAAAAUAUAAAAUAUUCAAGUUUACUAAGAUUACAUUUUAAAAUAAAAAUUAAAAGAGAAAUUAAAGUUGAUGACUAUGGUUUUAAACAUUUACACUCCUUACUUGUUUAUAGCAUUAAAAUAUUUUUAAAAUUAUGCAGAUAGAAUGACUUCUUUUUAAAAAGUCAUGGUUUUAAAAAAAGUUUUAACAUAUUCAUCCUGUAAUAACUCUUUUAUUUAAUAUAAAAAUGUUUUCCAGGGUUUUUAUAGUUUUGUGUUUUACAGUUAAGUCUUCAAUCUAUCUUGAAUUGAUUUUUGUAUAUGGUAUAAGGAAGGGGUCCAGUUUCAAUCUUCCACAUAUUGCUAGCCAGUUCUCCCAGCAUCAUUUAUUGGAUAGGGAGUCUUUUCCCCAUUGCUUGCUUUUGUCAGCUUUGUUGAAGAUCAGAUGCCUGUAAGUGUGAGGCCCUAUUUCUAAGCUCUCUAUUCCAUUUUAUUGGUCUAUGUGUCUAUUUUUGUACCAGUACCAUGCUGUUUUGGUUACUGUACCCCUGUAGUAUAGUUUCAAGUCAGGUAUUGUGAUGCCUCCAGCUUUGUUCUUUUAGUUUAGGAUUGCCUUGGUUAUUUGGGUUCUUUCUGGGGUCCAUAUGAGUUUUAAAAUAGUUUUUUCUAGUACUGUGAAGAAUGUCAUGGUAGUUUGAUAGGAAUAGCAUUGAAUAUGUAAAUUUGGGGAAGCAGUAUGACCACUUUAAUAAUACUGAUUCUUCCUAUCUAUGAGCAUGGAAUUUUUUUUCAUUUGAUAGGGUGGAGGGUGGGAGAAGGGAGAGGGGCAGAAAAAAUAGCUAUUAGAUACUAGGCUUAGUAACUGGGUGAUGAAAUAAUCUUUAUAAUGACCCCCAUGUCACGAGUUUACCUAUAUAACAAACCUGCACAUGAAACCCUGAACCUAAAAUAAAAGUUAAAAAAUA
Molecule: long non-coding RNA, 3507 nt
Organism: Pan troglodytes (chimpanzee)
Lineage: Eukaryota; Metazoa; Chordata; Mammalia; Primates; Hominidae
Exons: 4
Source: RefSeq, a predicted model, not a curated record